Drosophila albomicans is the source of this 285-nucleotide long non-coding RNA. RefSeq lists it as uncharacterized. NCBI's taxonomy places the organism in Eukaryota, Metazoa, Arthropoda, Insecta, Diptera, Drosophilidae. The transcript is spliced from 2 exons. The record is from RefSeq and is a predicted model, not a curated record.
CAACUCUUUAGUCUCUGAAAUUUAGGUGUUCAUUCGGACUCACGGACAGACGGACACGGCUGUUUAUGCUGAUCAUGAAUAUAUAUUUACUUGACGGGAUUGGAGAUGUCUCCUUCUUCCCAAUAGGCAGCGGGUAUAAAAACACAAUUCCAAGCGAGCAAUCUGAAAAAGUUCUGGGAAGUGAUUCACUAUUGAAGAAUUUGCCUACUAAGUAAAAGUAUAUAAUCGUUUCAUUUCUAUACAACUGUUGCAAACAGCAAAAUGAAAUAAAUGUACUAUACGAAA